AUUGAACGCUGGCGGAAUGCUUUACACAUGCAAGUCGAACGGCAGCACGGGGGCAACCCUGGUGGCGAGUGGCGAACGGGUGAGUACCAUAUCGGAACGUAUCCAAUAAUGGGGGAUAACGAGUCGAAAGAUUCGCUAAUACCGCAUACGCCCUACGGGGGAAAGCUGGGGACCUUCGGGCCUGGCGUUAAUGGAGCGGCCGAUAUCUGAUUAGCUAGUUGGUGAGGUAAAGGCUCACCAAGGCGGCGAUCAGUAGCUGGUCUGAGAGGACGACCAGCAACACUGGAACUGAGACACGGUCCAGACUCCUACGGGAGGCAGCAGUGGGGAAUUUUGGACAAUGGGCGUAAGCCUGAUCCAGCCAUUCCGCGUGAGUGAAGAAGGCCUUCGGGUUGUAAAGCUCUUUCGCAAGGGAAGAAAACUUAGCCACUAACAUUGGUUGAGGUUGACGGUACCUUGAUAAGAAGCACCGGCUAACUACGUGCCAGCAGCCGCAGUAA
Molecule: ribosomal RNA, 500 nt
Filed under: uncultured bacterium
Lineage: Bacteria
Description: partial 16S ribosomal RNA
Rfam family: Bacterial small subunit ribosomal RNA
Source: RNAcentral